CAAUUUAAAAUACAUAUUUACUUUAAUUUGUAAACAUGGCAAAUUUUCAUCUUGUUAUUUCUUUCAAAUUUUUCAAUAUAUCUGCACACGCAGUGGUGCAGUUUAUCUUGCUAUAUAUAGGGUUGUGCUAAACAAACUAUUGAAUAUUUUUUUCUUGUAUGCCCUAAUGAUGUCUGGAGUAUCGUCAAUUUUUAGGAUUUUUAGGCAUUUUGACCAGGGUUUGUCAAUUUUGUAAUGCGCAAAAACGCACCCCUCAAAAUACCAUUCUGGAAAAUUUCACCAAUUUUGAGUUUUCCACAUAUUUUACUGAAUUUCAUCACGAAAAGGUCACAUUUUGCGCCAAAAACAUCCCGGUUCCCCACUCUCGGCUCGGCGUGGCGUGGAAUGAAACACUCAACGUCACACCUCUAGCUCCAAGAUAACAGGCGGCAGUGUUCGUGCUGUGAGCCGCCGCUGCUGUUUGUCCGUUUCAGCUCCCUGUGUAUACAGCGCUUGCUUUUUUAAUGGAAAAAUUCGAAAAAUUCAACAAAGGAACUGCACCACGACUUUUGCCGGUCUAACACGAUAAGCAGCGGAACACAGAGUGCACGAAAACUGCAAAGGUUGGCUCAAUAAACAUUUAGCGAGGUGUGUAGUUGCUCCGUCAAAAACAGCAAAAUCGAAGCUGGCUCUUUUACAUUCAGCGUCAACUGCAACAACAGUGAGUCAAGUUGGUGCCCCAGGAAAAUGACCCUGAACUACCAGCAAGGCUCGUUCGAGAAUAGAGAGGGGAACUGGGACGGGUUUUUGGUCCUCGUACCUGUCCCGUCAUGGAAAAAAAUAUUCCGUCUCUGUCCCUGUCCCAUUUUUGUUUUUCGGGGUCGUCCCUGUCCCUGUUAGCUCUUAACCUUGUCCCUGUUUAGUCCCCACCCCUCGAACCCAUACCAGAUCCUUAACUUUUCUUUUAAAAGUGGCAAUUUUUGUCAGUAAAUAACAAUUGUAUGUAAAACGUAACCUCGCAGGAGUGCUCAAUUUUAAAAAUCGGUCGGCGGAGACUGUGACAUAUUACUAAUUUAUUGCUUCCGCAAGGUUCGCAAAAACCCGCAUUUUUCCGGAAAAAGCCAUUGCAUUGCAAAAAAAUGUUUUUUGCGCUCUUUUCCAAUAAACCACGUGCAUUUUUUAUUGUUCAAUAAAACAAUGCAUGAGUCUAUCUUUUUAUCUUCUAAGUUAAAAAAAUUCUCACGAUGGAUGACCAAAACUAGAGAUUAUACAAAAUCAGUAUAAAAGCCACUGGUUCAGGAUUCGCCAACUUUGUGAUACGCAAAAAUGCACCUGUUUUUUUUUCAUUUUUCUUAAUUUAACCCCGAAAAGGUCACAUUUCGCGCUAAAAAUGGUCGGAAAUUUUGGAAAAUUGCGGUUUGUGUUACAAUUGUCUGUCUUUUGGGGAAACCAGUGGCAUUCUUACUGAUAUUAAAAAAUCCCAUUUUUAUCAUCCGUCGUGUGAAUUUAUGAUUUUCAUUAAAAAUGCACGUGUUUUGGGGAAAAGCGCUAAAUUGCAGAAAACCGGUAAAAAAACAGUUUUCGGCAAUACAGUGGAUUUUCCGAAAAAAUGCGCAAAUUUAAAAUCUUGAUUUUAAACCUAAUUAGUGGGUGUUACAGUUUGACUAUAUUUAUUCACCGAUAUCAAGUAGUGUUUUUCUCCUCGCGUCUCUGGUGUGUGGUUUGGCUGCUUUCCUUGCACACUCGCAGUCUCACUCAGCUGCUCCU
Long non-coding RNA from Cloeon dipterum, 1746 nucleotides. RefSeq lists it as uncharacterized. The record is from RefSeq and is a predicted model, not a curated record. The transcript has 3 exons. NCBI's taxonomy places the organism in Eukaryota, Metazoa, Arthropoda, Insecta, Ephemeroptera, Baetidae.